RNAcentral lists this ribosomal RNA (897 nucleotides) under Triticum aestivum (bread wheat). Its description in RNAcentral is "partial small subunit ribosomal RNA". Lineage: Eukaryota; Viridiplantae; Streptophyta; Magnoliopsida; Poales; Poaceae. The record is from RNAcentral.
AUGGCGGCGGCUCUCGGCCCGGCGGCCACGCUCCUCGGCAAGGUGUUCACGAUGCCGUCGGCCGCCCCGGUGGCGGCGUACGUGGACAACCUCGAGCUCGGCCACAACUCCCAGCAGAUCAGGGCCAAGCUCGCACACACACGAGGCCUGCUGCACAACGCCCAGGCCCAGGUGAGCCACAACCCUGGACUAAAGGAGCUGCUGGCGGCGCUGAGCAGGAACGCAGACCAGGCGAAGAACCUGCUGGAUGAGCUCCACUACUUCCAGAUCCAUGACAAGCUCCACGGCACCCACUACGCCACCACCCAAGAGGCCGGCCAUCAAGCUCUUCACGCCGGUAGUGCUCUUCGCGACUUGUUCCGGUGCUUUUCUUGCUCGCCUACACCCAAGAGCAAGAGGGAUGGUAGUGAUGAUGAUGCUGUUGCUGUUGCCGGUGCACCACACCACGUCGCCAACACCCUAGGCAACUUGCUCCAGUGCUUUUCUUGCUCCUGUGCAACCAAGAGGAAUGGUGGUGGUGAUGCUGCUGCUGCUAGUGCUGAUGAUGGUGAUACGCUGCAUUUCAACAGAGUGUCCAUGUCCAGGGAAAUCAAGUUCCUGUUACAGGGCAUGCAGUCGAACUGUGAUUCUGUCUCCAAUUUGCUCGGCACUAUCCCAAGCAGCAGCACAGCAGUGGCAGUCGUCCAAGAUAGGCCUCAGACUGCUUCCAUGAUUGUACAAGAUACAUUGUAUGGCAGGAAAGGCAUUUUUGAGGAAACUGUCAACCGUAUCACUACUGCCACACACACUCUUUCUGUUCUUCCUAUAGUUGGUCCAGGGGGCAUUGGCAAGACAACAUUCACCACUCACCUGUACAAUGAUGCAAGGACUCAAGACCACUUCCAAAUCAGGGUCUAG